This 460-nucleotide ribosomal RNA is filed under the name uncultured bacterium. Its description in RNAcentral is "partial 16S ribosomal RNA". It matches the Rfam family "Bacterial small subunit ribosomal RNA", at positions 338 to 795 of the family's 1533-position model. The record is from RNAcentral.
CCUACGGGAGGCAGCAGUGAGGAAUAUUGGUCAAUGGACGAGAGUCUGAACCAGCCAAGUAGCGUGAAGGAUGACUGCCCUAUGGGUUGUAAACUUCUUUUAUAAAGGAAUAAAACGAGGCACGUGUGCCUUUUUGCAUGUACUUUAUGAAUAAGGAUCGGCUAACUCCGUGCCAGCAGCCGCGGUAAUACGGAGGAUCCGAGCGUUAUCCGGAUGUAUUGGGUUUAAAGGGAGCGUAGAUGGGUUGUUAAGUCAGUUGUGAAAGUUUGCGGCUCAACCGUAAAAGUGCAAUUGAUACUGGCAGUCUUGAGUACAGUUGAGGUAGGCGGAAUUCGUGGUGUAGCGGUGAAAUGCUUAGAUAUCACGAAGAACCCCGAUUGCGAAGGCAGCUUACUAAACUGUGACUGACAUUGAUGCUCGAAAGUGUGGGUAUCAAACAGGAUUAGAUACCCUUGUAGUC